UGUUGCUUGCUUUGGCAACAUAUCUGUUAAAUAGAAACAAUACAGAGAAGGUUGGCAUGGCCCCUGCACAAGGAUGGCACGCAAAUCGGUGAAAUGGUCCAUAUUUUU
Small nuclear RNA from Myodes glareolus (Bank vole), 108 nucleotides. Lineage: Eukaryota; Metazoa; Chordata; Mammalia; Rodentia; Cricetidae. The record is from RefSeq and is a predicted model, not a curated record.